AAAGUAACUAUUUAAUUAAAAACCAUAGUAAAUCAAAUUAACACAGUACAUCAUCAAACCAUUUAUAAGCAACACUGACCUCCAAACAACAACACAGGAUUCUUACAAGUAAGUAACACAACAUAAAUCUUCAUUAGCGCUCUAAUUAUUCUUUCAAUUACUAGCAAGUGGCAUGUCCGAGGUUGUUGCCUGUUCAGUUCCUGGGCUUGCAGCCCUGCGUGCUUGACGAGGACAAGUCCGUUUCCGGUGAGCUUCAGGAUUUUCCCAACGUUGUGCUCCUCUCAUAACGAAGGCUCCAAACACAGUUCCCAUAAAAAAGGCAAAAACAGGCCUCAUCUCCCUUGUUGUUUGUUUAUAAACUCUACUCUAGAUAUUGUGUAAAAGCAAGAGCAAGACUAGAUAUGGUGUUGGGAACUAGGCGAUUGAGCUGGUGGAUUUAUAAAAGUUUUGUCUUUAGAAGACAUCUUGAUGCCCAAGUUGUCUUUGCAAAUGAUUUCACUAAGCUAGCCUCUACUCCAAGGGUCAACCCCGCUGUCUUGCCGUGUUAAAUAUUUUAUUCUAGAUGGCGGCAUCCAUACUUGGUGGAUAAGGUGCAAAUUUGACUGGGUCAGUUAGCAUUUCUGGUCUAAACCAGCCCCUAACAAUCAAUGAAUUUGCUCUCAUUAAUGGGACUUCCUCGAAAAUAAAAUAAAGAACGAAUCAAUAAAGGAAAAGAAAAUAAACUUUUUUUAUUUUGUCCUUAAAUCGUAUCUUUGAUAUGUGUAAAUGAUCAUGCUUUAGGUGAUGAUAAACUUAUUAUGUUCUUAAACUAUCAUCCAUUCAUGGGGGUUUUAUUUAUUUUUCUCAGAUUCUUUUUUGAAGAACUUCAUGAAUUGGAUUAAAAAUGUAGAUAUAAUAUGCUAGUGAGAGAGUGUAUGAGAGAUAGGGACAGUGAUGCUUGAUACUUUCUAUUAAAAAAUAUGUUUUUGUCUUAAUUGUAUUCUUGUAUUGUCAAAUAACUGGUUGAUAGUGUUGAUGCAAAAAAAUUAUCGUUAUUGUUUAAUUGAAAAAAGAUGUAUUUCUUUAAUUAUUUUUCAAUUUCAGUUUUUUUUUUUUCGUUCUUACCUUUUGAUUUAUAUUGAGAUAUCCCAUAAACUUUGGAGAUGAAAUUAAGAUUUACACAUAGCGGAACAGAAAUAAAGAUGUAGGUCUAAUCGAAACAAAUCAAAAUUUUAAUGAAACUGAAAAAAUACAUGAACCUGGAGAUUAAAAUCUACCCUAAAUUGGCUGACGACCAUGAAGGUGCGACAAAUCAGAAGAUAGGGACCCUGUUUUCUUUAGCUGUUCUGAGGUGAAAGUAGUUUGGUGCCAGCUAUAUCUUUUCUGUUUGGCAAGAGAGAGAUAAGAAGCGCGUGAGAAUGUUGCUUCGGAUUCUCUACUUUGCCAAGGCAAAUUAUCCAAUCUGUUCAGUACAGAUUACGUAAGACAACGCUGCUGAGACAUGCUAUGAACAGUAAUCCCAGAUAUGAUUUGUUAUAUAUAAUCACUGGGAUUUUGCUGAUAAUUUUCUCGGUCAGAGUCUGUAAAAUGGACUUAGUCUUCUGUCGUGUAUGCUUCAAUUUCCCAGGAUAGUAUCCUGUUUUAGCUCUUGUAGGAGGGCGAGCACCAAUCUGUUUUUUUUGUAAUAAAAUUCUCGAUAAUCAAGACUGGGACCUUGAGAUACCUGAAUGUUAAUUUCUGCUAGGACAGAACAAAGAGGACGAAUGUAAACACCAAAUAGAAUGCGAAAUGAUAAGCAAGAAGCUAUCUUGGCCACACAAUUACUGCACAUGGCGAUGGGCCAAAGAUUUUGCUUUUUUGAGUAACGCCAUUCACAGAAUUGAAUAAAAAUCCAGCUUCAAGUACACAGCAUUCAUGGCUUAACAUUGGCCACUGCUCCUGUAGUGGCUGCCUGUUAUUUUCAGUAUUUAAUUGUCUAUGCAUUUGUAUUUCUCUAUAUAAAGCUUCUUUUGGAGCACUGAAAGUUCCAUAACGUGUGUGUUGCCUGAAAGAAAUGGCCUUCAAGGGUUCUAAGGCAGCUGCUAUUUUUGUUCUGCUCAAUGUCGUUUUUUUCACUUGUGUCUCAUCUCAUAACGUACCGGCCUGUCCUCCAAAAGCUCCCCCAGCCCCGAAGAAGCCAGCCAAAUGCCCUAAAGAUACCCUCAAAUUUGGUGUUUGUGGCAACUGGUUAGGGCUGGUUCACGAGGUUCUUGGGACCCCUCCAAGCGAGGAAUGCUGUACCCUUAUCAAGGGUCUUGCUGAUCUUGAAGCAGCAUUGUGUUUAUGCACAGCUAUUAAGGCCAAUGUCUUGGGAGUUGUCAAGCUCAAAGUUCCCGUUGCAGUUAGCUUGCUCCUAAGUGCUUGUGGAAAGAAAGUUCCUGAAGGCUUUAAAUGCGCUUAGAACUCCUUUUCCUGUUCAUUGAUGUUUGUUUCACGUUUGAAACUUGUUUGCUCUUGUAAAACUCGCUUUCCUGUAAGAAGCGAAGCUGAAUGCCUCUCAAUAAAAUGUGUUUUGAGUCCCUUCCUUUUGCUUUGCAUCUGUUCUAAAGAGUUGAGACAAAUAAUGGCAAAAUGCGCAAACAUGUCGAAGCUAGAUUACAGCUUAAGAGCUGCAAGGCAUUUUGGUUAAUUCAUUCACUUUAAACGUGUAAAGGUGCGCAGGAGAAUCAGUAGAAUCCUCAUCAUCUACCCUGUUUUAUAAUAAUAAUUUAUUUAUUUUAAAAAAAUAAAGAAGCUAAUAAGAUGCUGUAAAACCUUUCAGCAAAGCGUCGCAAAAGAAACAGAUGGCCCCCAGCACCAAGGGGUUUAAAUCUUGUAGAACAUGUCCAUAGGAGAGGCAUCAAAGCCCGUUGAAUCACCAAAGGAGCACUCCUUUUCCAGUGCAGCAGUAAGGUUUGAAGCUUUGACUCAAUUGUGCAAACGGAUUUUUGUAGCAGGGCUUUCUCUAAUCGAAAACAUGUUUUUGAAAUGAUAAUUGUGUAUGAUAAUGUACAAUUUGACAUGUUUUUAAGUUUGGGGCUUAAAGAAUGUGUUGAUACUUUAGAAGCAAAAUAAAAUCUAUACAGAAUUAGAGUUUAUUUAUAGUAUUAGAAUUUGUUUACGGUUGCUAUUCUAAUGACCAUCUUUUAUUCUAUGUAAUAGAAUAUCAGAAUAUCAGUACUUGAGCUAUAUUGGACGCUAGUUAUUGAAUGAUAAACUUUCAGCCUAUGCAAUCUUUAGUUUUAGUAAUAGAGUAAGGGUACAUGUUGCUUUAUCAAAUGAAAACCGAUAGACCGUUUCCACCAAGGCACUAACCCCAAGCACAAAAGUAAGACAAUCACUCAUAAAGAUGGGAAAGGGGGCAAAAAACUAUAGGCUAAUACAUGGAAACCUAAGCUCCCCGAUUUUGCAAAUAAUUCAGAUAGAUCUUCACAUGAAUAAGACUAGAGUUACUGAAGAUGGGAUCAUAAUAUAGGUGCCGAACCCUGUCAUGGUGAUGGAUCGAUCAAUCAUUCUGAAACAUCAUCUCUGUCUUUCUUGUUGCUGGGUUUGCGAUGGUUUUCUUCCAUCUGUUUGGCCAUGGAAAGGCCAAAUUCAACAAGUUUUUUUAUGUUAGGCACGUUGUAGUUCUGGGCUAUGUAGAUCCCAGACAGUGUCCCGGACAUGAACGAGAAGGAGCUCCUUAUUAAACCCAUUUGGCUCCCAAGAACUAUUUAGUAUGCAGCUAGCUGUGUAGAGUAUGAGAAAGAGACUUGGCUUGAUCUGAGAGAUGUGAAUCAGGAAUUUGACGGUCUUGAGAAAUCAAAGAUGGGUGUGAAGGGGAUUCGAAAGGCCGAGAUGUCGUAGUUCCCAAGACUCGAAAUGAGCCCUCCUUUUGUGUACAUGGUGACUCCUCCUCCAAGGGUCAACCCUUCUCGGCUAAGCAACAAUUUUUAUCAAAGGAUAGCGACAAUUUAAAGGAUAGAAGACAACAUAGCGUUACUUUUACUUUGUUUCAAAAAAAAUUCUCAAUUUAUCUUGUUUAAAAUAGAUUAUGUAAAACUAUUUAUCCUUAGUGUUUGCUGAACUAGAAAUGAAAAAAUAUUUUUUUAUUAAUAUUUUUGUAUCAUUUUAAUAUGUUAAUAUUAUACAUAAAUUUUUAAAAAAUAUUUUAUAUAUUUUUAAAUAAAAAUUUUUUUUAUUUUUACUAUAUUACCAAACAGAUUCUUCAAGGAUCAUCUUAAGGAUACAUACCGGAAAAUGUUUGCUUUAAUUUUAAUUUCUUUUAAUUAGUACUUUGAUUUUAAUUUCUUUUCAUUAUUACGAGGAAAAGAGAAAAAUGGUAUUGAAUAUCUACUUUCAAGUUCUUGAGGAUAUGGUAAAAUUAGAUGUUAGUCCCUAACUUUCUAAAAUUCUAAAAUGAAUCCCUCGAAGUCACAUAAGAUUUAAGACUUCAAAUCUCAUUCAUUGCAAAACUAUUUGAGGAUAAAAUGUGAUUAGAGAAAUUAUUGUCGUUGAGCAAAUACGGCCCAAGAAAUCAAUAAUAACAGCAGACAAAGAACCAAUCUGUUAAUUAGGCCACUUAUUUCCUGAAUUUUAAUUUAUUUGAGAAUUGAUUCAUCAACUAAAAUUGACCUCCUGCAAUAUCGCUCAUUUAAAAUUGGAUCCUUUUGUUAAUUUUUGUAGGGUUUUUUUCCCUAUUAAUUAACGUUUAAAAAUCAACUCUGUAAAUAAUUUGAGUAUGUUGUACCCUUUACUUCUAGUUUUUGGUUAUUUUAAACCUCCCAUCUAUUUUUGUAUGUGAAAGUCAUAUGAUUUAUGUACAAAUUGAUCCAAACCCUUGAUUUAUUGACUUGUUUCUUAACCUUUAGAUGAAUUUGACUUUUAAAUAAAAAAAAUAAAAAAUAUAUAUUUAAAAAUGAUACAAAAAUAUCCAUAAAUAGGAAAAAAUAUCCAUGAAAAAUAAAAAUAAAAAACAAAAAAGAAAAUCUCAUAAAAUUCGGAAAACAAAAAAAAUCUCAAUUUUCAUCUUUGGACUUUUUUUCUGUAAUUAGAUUUAUUGCUAAAUUUUUUUAUUUUACCUCACAAUCAAUUUAACAGAAAAAUAAAAUAAAAUGGAGGGGAGGUUUAAAGUAAAAAAAAAAGAAAAGAAUAAAAAUAGAAGUAAAGGGUUCAAUACGAUCAAAUUGUUUGUGGAGAGUUCAAUUUGAUGAAUUUCAAUAAUAGGGGGACAAUUUGUGAAACCUACAAAAUCUAACUUGAAGUAUUCAAUUUCAAACGAAUCAAAGUUGCUAGAGGUCAAUAUCAACUUCUUAAAUGAUGAACUAGUUUUCAAUUAACUUAAAUCUCAAAAGAGAUUUGAUCCACUUAAUUAAAAAAAACAAGAAGUCAAAAUUGGAGUAAACAGAAACAAAUUAAACUCCAUCGCUGUCUUUCUUGCAGAUGCACAUAAUUUUAUUAGCAAGUAUAUAUGACAUUACAUAGAGCAGGAGUCGUCCUAUUACUAACUGUGAUGAGUUAAUCAUUCAGAAACGUCAUCGCUCUCUUUCUGGUUUCUGGGUUUGCGAUGGGUUCUUUCAAUUUGUCUAGCCAAAGAAAGGCCUGUCUCGGCAAGUUUUUUGACGUCUGGCACGUUGUAGUUCUGCGAUAUGUAGAUCCCAGCCAGUGUCCCCAACAUGAAUGAGAAGCUUCUCCUUAUCAGACCCAUGGCUGCCUCUUUUCUUCAAGGAACGAUGCUUCACUUGACUGAGCUAGCUACAGAAAAAGAAAAUUAAGCACUACUUAAGCAGGAACUAAUUCGGUAGCUUGGAGAAGGCAAGGUUGUUUAGCAGAGGAUUUAUAUAACUUGUGGGCGGUCCUGACGUAUUUCUCAAGACAUGAAGAAAACCAGAGUGACUCCUCCAGGGGUUUGAAUAUUUUUUUUUUUCAGUCCCGAGAUCUUGGUGAAAUUAUAUGUUAGUCCUCGACUUUUUAAAAGUUACUAUUGAAUAUUAAAAAAAACUUAAUAAUUGUUCAAAAAAAAUAAAGAAUAAAAGAGAAAUCCAUAUAUUUUCUUUUAUAUUUUUUCCAAUGUUUAGAAUACAAGACAAAGAGUCUAUUUAUAAGGAAAAAAAAAAUGAUAGCAGUAAUGGACACUAGAAGACUAAGUGUCAUGGAAAAUCAAGAAACUAAACUGUCAUGAAGUCUAAGAGAUUUUAAUGAGCUUUCAAUAUAUAUAUAUAUAUAUAUAUAUAUAUAUAGAUUUUAUAACAUUUUCUCUUGAACGACUAUGUACUAAAAAUGUGUCUUAUUAAAACUUUGUAAAGAAAAACUCAAUGGGAAGAAAAACCUAAGCGAAGAAAAAGAAGUACAACAUUCUUGUGUGAUUUCUGAAUACUUCAGAAUUCAAUAGAAGGUUUUAUAGAUACUUCAAGUUCACAUUAAUUUGUCCCUUAUCAAAAUGAGAUAGCUUCCGGUUAUUCCAAGUAAUUUCUUGUCAUGCUUCAGGUAGUAACUUUUUUUUCCCUGAUGAUGGGAAAAUAUUCAUUAAAAUGGUAAUGUUCAAAAUGUGUCUUAAAAACAUCACCGGUUAAAGGUUCAAGAAAUCUAAUAAUAGAUGGAGAAUCAAAACCAACAUAAAUUCAUAUUCUAUAUUGUGGAGCCAUUUUAGUCGUUUGUAGGGGCACUAUUGGCGCAUAUACAACACAACCAAAAGCUUAUAAAUGAAAUAUAUUUGAUGGUAUACAAAAAACAAGUUACAAAUGAAAAUAUCUAUGGUAAGCACUUGGUCUAAUUCUAACCAAUAAUGCAACAUGUAAUAUUGCAUGUCUACAAACAGAUGUAGGCAAUUUUUAUUUCAAAUGUAAUGGCCUAGCAAUUAAUUGAAGGCACUUAUAAAUGAUUCUGUUAGACCAUUUUGAUUAUAUACAUGAGCAAUAGGAUAUUUAACAUCAAAUCCAAUAGAAGUGCAAAAAUUAUCAAAUGCUUGAGUAUGCAAAGAUUAUCGAACUCACCAGCAUUGUCCAAUCAAAUUUUCUUGAUUGGAUAAUCAGGAGAUGUGUGUCCGUUGUAUGAUAAUAUGUGUUAUUAAUCUAGCAAAUACAACAUUUUGACUAGAAAGUUAACAAACAUGUGACCAUUUACUUCAUGCAUCAAUCAAUACCAUAAAAUAUCUAAAAGGUCUACAUGGUAGAUAAAUAGAUCCACAAAUAUCUCCUUGAUUUUUUUCAAGAAAAGAUGGUGAUUCUAUAACAACCUUAGAUGGAGAUGGUUUGGUAAUUAAUUUACCUUGAGAACAUGAGCGCAUGAUUUUUCAUUUGGUAAAAGAAUCUUCAGAUUCUUUAAAUGAUGCCCAUGUGAAUUUUCAAUAAUUCAUUGUAUUAUUAUUGAUUCUAAAUGUUCAAGUCGAUCAUGUCAAAGCAUAAAUAUUUUUGGGUUAGAACACUUGUGGUGUGUCACAACAUUUAUUUCAAUAUAUUUCAUGAAUGUGUAAUAAAUUCUAGAAGAGAAAUUAGAUAAUUUUUCAGGUAUAAUCUCUAGCCUAAAAUACAUGAAAAAAUAUAAAGAUAUUCUUUUUUGUCUUCAUCUAUUGUUUCAAUAUGAUAACCAUUAAUACAUAUAUCUUUAAAAUUGAGUAAAUACUUUUAGACUUUGGUGAAUAUAAUGCAUCUUUGCUACCCAAAUUUGUGUUAUUUGGUAACAAAAUAUUAGCUUUUCUAGGGCCUUUAAUCAUGUCUAUUGGACCUAAUAUUACAGUGACAUUAGUUUUAGUUUUAGUUAAUGUCAAAUAUUCAAAGUAUUUUUUUCUUGAAAAUUAUGUGUACUAUUUGCAAGACAUAAAUCUUCAUCAUGAAAAGGCAUGCCUCUUUUUAAAAUAUAAUUAAAGUUUAUUAUUUAACUAAAAAUUGAUAUUAUUUAUUGAAAAUAUAAUAAGAUAAAUAUCUUAAUACAAAAAAAAUAUUAAUCAUCCCCAAGGAUUCCACCACUAAAUAUGUCAUCUAUUUUAUCCAGUGUUUUUAAACCCGGUCCGGUGACCGACCCGACCCAAGGUCCGAGUCACGGGUUUUGACCUGGUCACUCGAGUCAACCUCAUUUUUUUAUAAAUCAAAAUGACAUUGUUUUGGUAAAAAAUAAAAAUAAAAAUAAUCAACGGAUUACAACAAGGUUUUUGAUCGGGUCUUACCAGGUCAACCCGCCGGAUCGGCCAGGCUUUUAACUACCCCUAUUUUUUUAUAAAAUCAGCUUGAUUCUAGCUUCGGAUCAGCCAGGUCCCGAACCGACCUGCCAGUUUUAAAACUAUGAUUUUAUCAGGGUUUUCAAAGAAAUCAGAUAUUUAUAUUCCAAUUCCCCUGGUCUUGGUAAAAAUUAUAUAUUAGUCCUUGAGGCUGGUUUUAAUAACUCCACUCAUCAUAAUAUUUUUAUCCUUUUUCAUUUUGUUUCUUUUUAUAAAAUCUUUUAUCAGUUACAUCCUCAAUCCAACUAUUAUAUUUCAAGAUGAUGGUGCAGGAAGAUUUUCAUACGAUGUGAUUCGUAAUCUACAGCCAAGAUCUGAAAGUAGAACGACAAUUAAAAAAAAUAAAGUAACUAUUUAAUUAAAAACCAUAGUAAAUCAAAUUAACACAGUACAUCAUCAAACCAUUUAUAAGCAACACUGACCUCCAAACAACAACACAGGAUUCUUACAAGUAAGUAACACAACAUAAAUCUUCAUUAGCGCUCUAAUUAUUCUUUCAAUUACUAGCAAGUGGCAUGUCCGAGGUUGUUGCCUGUUCAGUUCCUGGGCUUGCAGCCUGCGUGCUUGACGAGGACAAGUCCGUUUCCGGUGAGCUUCAGGAUUUUCCCAACGUGUGUGCUCCUCUCAUAACGAAGGCUCCAAACACAGUUCCCAUAAAAAAGGCAAAAACAGCCUCAUCUCCCUUGUUGUUUGUUUAUAAACUCUACUCUAGAUAUUGUAAAAGCAAGAGCAAGACUAGAUAUGGUGUUGGAACUAGGCGAUUGAGCUGGUGGGAU
This 8964-nucleotide long non-coding RNA is filed under the name Populus tremula. RNAcentral's name for it is "long non-coding RNA (PTRE_LNC000919)". Lineage: Eukaryota; Viridiplantae; Streptophyta; Magnoliopsida; Malpighiales; Salicaceae. The record is from RNAcentral.